GUGGGGAAUAUUGCACAAUGGGCGCAAGCCUGAUGCAGCGACGCCGCGUGAGGGAUGACGGCCUUCGGGUUGUAAACCUCUUUCAGCAGGGGAGAAGGCCUUCGGGUUGACGGUACCUGCAGAAGAAGCGCCGGCUAACUACGUGCCAGCAGCCGCGGUAAUACGUAGGGCGCAAGCGUUGUCCGGAAUUAUUGGGCGUAAAGAGCUCGUAGGCGGUUUGUCGCGUCUGCUGUGAAAACGCGAGGCUCAACCUCGCGCCUGCAGUGGGUACGGGCAGACUAGAGUGCGGUAGGGGAGACUGGAAUUCCUGGUGUAGCGGUGGAAUGCGCAGAUAUCAGGAGGAACACCGGUGGCGAAGGCGGGUCUCUGGGCCGUUACUGACGCUGAGGAGCGAAAGCAUGGGGAGCGAACAGG
This 414-nucleotide ribosomal RNA is filed under the name uncultured bacterium. RNAcentral describes it as "bacterial SSU rRNA". It matches the Rfam family "Bacterial small subunit ribosomal RNA", at positions 354 to 776 of the family's 1533-position model. The record is from RNAcentral.